GCAACCCUGGUGGCGAGUGGCGGACGGGUGCGUAACACGUGGAUAAUCUGCCCUCUGGCGGGGGACAACAACCUGAAAGGGUUGCUAAUACCGCAUAAGUGAGUGAGAUCUUUGGAUCUUGUUCGGAAAGAUGCCCUCUUCAUGAAAGGUAUCACCGGAGGAUGAGUCCGCGGCCCAUCAGCUAGUUGGCGAGGUAAUGGCUCACCAAGGCUAUGACGGGUAGCUGGUCUGAGAGGAUGAUCAGCCACACUGGAACUGAGACACGGUCCAGACUCCUACGGGAGGCAGCAGUGGGGAAUAUUGGACAAUGGGGGAAACCCUGAUCCAGCCAUGCCGCGUGAGUGAUGAAGGCCUUCGGG
Molecule: ribosomal RNA, 359 nt
Filed under: uncultured bacterium
Lineage: Bacteria
Description: bacterial SSU rRNA
Rfam family: Bacterial small subunit ribosomal RNA
Source: RNAcentral